GAAGAAGUUUUUCAAGUGUCUCAUGAUGAAUUUCAUAGGGCAGAUUCUGAGGUGAAAAUUUGAUUCAUCACUGAUACCCUAACUGUGAAUUCUGAAGACACUUGAAAACAU
Molecule: small nucleolar RNA, 111 nt
Organism: Ochotona princeps (American pika)
Lineage: Eukaryota; Metazoa; Chordata; Mammalia; Lagomorpha; Ochotonidae
Gene: SNORD90
Product: small nucleolar RNA, C/D box 90
Source: Ensembl